This is a long non-coding RNA of Ostrea edulis (European flat oyster), 4165 nucleotides long. RefSeq lists it as uncharacterized. The transcript has 3 exons. NCBI's taxonomy places the organism in Eukaryota, Metazoa, Mollusca, Bivalvia, Ostreida, Ostreidae. The record is from RefSeq and is a predicted model, not a curated record.
UAAACAAUGAGCUCAGCAAUUCGGUAGUUCUAUAUAACAUGCAAAGAGUUUAUGCAUAUGUUCACUAAAUUGUGUGGUUUGAGUCAGAUCUUUCUGCAUUAGGCCUUUAUUUUGUAUUGAAUCUUAUGUGAUUGAUUGAUUUUUUAUUGUUGAACUGGAGAAUGUUUCACUCAUAAGGAGACGUCAUUACUGCCCGUGAAGGACUUCAAAAUUUAGGCCUAUGCUCGGCGCUUACGGCCUUUGAGCAGGGAGGGAUCUCUAUCGUGCCACACCUGCUGUGACACGGGACCUCGGUUUUUGCGAUCUCAACCGAAAGACCGCCCCAUUUAGUCGCCUCUUACGACAAGCAAGGGGAAGUGGGGACUUAUUCGAACCCGGAUCCCAUAUAGUUUUACGCUAAAUAUUUAAAUAUAAUUCAUUUUUACUCUAGAAGUACUUUGGACCUAAACUCUAUUAUGGAUAUAGCAGAACAGUUUUAUAGUUAUGAAAACAACUAUCUGUGCACUUCGCACCCUAUGAGAUUACAACGAAAAAGUACGUCACGACGUACAUCUUACAAUUCAUGUCUAUAUGUUGUCGUUAUAUUGACAGGUGUUAUCAAGUGAUAAGCCGUAUACGUGAAAAAAAAUUCUUGUCAAAUAAUAUAUUAUUUCAAUUUCGUAUCAAAUCGCUCAACAUUUUUAUAUUUGCGCGAAGGUCAUAAUUCAUAUUGUGACCUUGAAAUCGCCCCUCUAUUUUCUCCCGAUCAUCACUACGUUAUGUAAGGAAAUCUAAUUUACAUAAUUAUUGCGAGCAGUGUGUAAAGGGGUAACGAUAUACGGUGUAUGGUGGUGUAUAAAGUGUAUAUAUUUAUAUUCCUGUUACCAAAGGAAGGGUUAGGCCAAACUUCUGACACCUAAAGAAACCCCCCUUUCCCCAUCUGAUUAUGUCUAACAUACUCUUGAAAAUGAAAAAGAGUAUCCUGCAUUAGAUGCAUUUUAAACUUCCUUUUAUCGGAGCACUUGCUCUCUCUAUAGAUCUGGGUUUUUACUAUAUCAAUUAUCUUCUUCUUUUUUUUAAAUAUAGGAAGUCUCAUAAUUGUUCAUGAAAAAGUGAAGAUAAUGAACAAUCUUAUAAUGAUUACACAAUUGAGAGUAGGGUAAACACGGAUCCUUGUUAAAGUAAAUAUGAGUGGUGGCAACUGUGGUGCCAGUAGUCGUGUUCAUGAGAAUGUGAGGGGUGGUAUGUGGUACAUAAUUGGUGGUAUAUGAUGUUAACGAAAAUUUGAGUGGUGUUAUGGUGGUGAAACAUGCAAACUAAUAACGCUAAAUCAAUCUCUAAUUAAUAUUAUGGAAAGAAAUGCAAAAUUAAGGACCUACAUAGGUGAUAGUGUGAGUAGUGUUAAAGAAACCCUAAGUCAUGGGAACUGGUGUGGCAAUAGUGGGGAGUAGGUGUUAUUUACCGUAUAAGUGGUAGUGUGUGGUGUACAAGUGGUGGUAUGUGGUGUUAAUAAAAUGUGGGUGUUAGUAUGGUGGUGACACACGCAAACUAAUAACGGUAGAUCGAUCUCUUUCAUCAAUAUUGUUAUGCAAAGAAAUGCAUAACUUUGGACCUAUAUGGGUAGUGAUGUGAGUUAUGUUAAAGAAGAUGUAAGUGAUGGUAUCUGGUGUGCCAGUAGUGGUGUACAGUUGGUGGUAUGGGGUGUAUAGGUGGUGUGUAAGUGGUGAAUAGGUGGUGGUAUGUGGUGUAUAGGUGGUGGUAUGUGGUGUUAAUGGAAAUGUGAGUGAUAGUAUGGUGGUGAUAUAUGCAAACUAAAAACGGUAGAUCAAUCUGUCAUGCUAAGAAAUGCAAAACUAUAUAGGUAGUGUUGUGAGUAAUGUUAAAGAAGAUGUAAGUGAUGGCAUCUGGUGUGGCAGUAGUGGUGUACAGGUGGUGGUAUGGGGUGUAUAGGUGGUGUUUGAGUGGUGUAUGGGUGGUGAUAUGUGGUGUUAAUGGAAAUGUGAGUGGUAGUAUGGUGGUGUUAAUGGAAAUGUACGUGGUAGUAUGAUGGUAAUACAUGCAAACUAACAACGGUAUAUCUAUCUCUUUCGUUGAUAUUGAUAUGUAAAACUAUCAAUUCUCAGACCUGUAUAGGUAGUGAUGUGAGUAAUGUUAAAGAAGAUGUAAGUGAUGACAUCUGAUGUGUCAGUAGUGGUGUACAAGUGGUGGUAAGUGGUGGUAUGUGGUGUAUGAGUGGUGUUAAUGGAAAUGUGAGUGGUAGUAUGGUGGUAUUAAUGGAAAUGUGCGUGGUAGUAUGAUGGUGAUACAAUGUACAUGCAAACUAAUAACGGUAGAUCUACCUCUUUCGUUGAUAUUGAUAUGUAAAACUAUCAAUUCUCUGACCUGUAUAGGUAGUGGUGUGAUUGGUGUAAAAACAAAAACAAAAAACCGGUGUUAAAACACAUGUGUUAGCAUCCGAUGUGCCAUUAGCUGUGUGUAAAUGGUGUUUAUGGAAAUGUGAAUGGUGGUACGUGGUGUAUAAAUGGUGGUAUGUGGUGUUAAUGAAAAUAAGGGUUGUGGUAUGUGGUGUUAACGAACGUGUAGGUAGAGUGUGUGCGAUGUUAACGAAAGUAUGAAUGGUAGUAGUUGGCUGGUUAUUUCACAAUUUUCACCCUUAUUAUACACCACUUGUGGAUGAAGUACUAUGAUUAAUGGUUAUUACCCCCUAGUAGCGAGGGCUCUUUAGCGUGCAAACGCCUACCGCCAUAGGGCCUUCCGAAAGACCCGUAAAUGCAGUGCAUUUGGAGGGCCAAUCACUACCAAUGUUUACGUCUUAGGUUGGCGAUGGCAUGAGGAGGAUUCGAAUUCAUGAGCUUCCGGUUAGGAAGCAAACGCUCUACCAUUGAGCAAUGCGACCGGUAAUUGCGUGGUGGUGGUGGUGGUGGAAGUAUAUAAAGAACCUAAAAGCCAGGAAUUAUUCGUUUACUUGCAUGACAAUCUGAGCAGUGUUUAUAUACUUCCACCUGAAGUGUGUCACAGUCUGUAUAAUGGAAUGAUAACGUGUUGUAAAGUUCUAACGAGAUACAAAUGGAGUUUAUCAUUUUGGUUCGUGGAUUUAUCAGAAUAAAGAGAAUCUUAUAUUUUCGGAAGCAAUCAACAGUUGUGAUCGAGAAGAGAGAAGGAGAAAAUUUCAAGUGUGAGAUUGUAUUUGAUGAGACUGAUAUGACAAUGGUACCAGAGCCAACUGUCAAACAGCACUCCAGCCAGCAACAUUUUCCUCUUGUAUUUUUUGACUUGGAAUCAACAGGAUUAACUAGAGAUUCUCAUAUUACACAGCUGUCGUGUGUGGUGAAGAAAAAUGUUCCACCUAUACCUUUCCAAAAAUACCUAUCACAGUAAAAGCCUCAGAAAUCACAGGAAUCGAAAUUGUCAAUGGAAAUAUGUUUAACAAAAAUAUAGAAGUCAAGCCUUUCAGCAGGAAUGGAUGCUCUGCUUAAUUUUGUUUCAAAAUUUUAAACUAAAGUAAUUCUGCAUUUACAAUGGCAGUGUAUGAAUGUCAACAAUAUACAGAAUGUUUAUUGUAUACUAUACCCAAUUUAACAUUUUCUGUUUAUGAGAGAGAGAGAGAGAGAGAGAGAGAGAGAGAGAGAGAGUUGCAAGAAUUGGAAAGUAACUGCAAAAAUCAUGUGCAAAUUGCAUCAGUAUUGAUGUGAACGGUGGUGAAUUUGUUCUCUGAAUUUUGAUACAUUUAAUGUACCAAAUGAAAUUAUCCUAAUAAAUUUCCAUUUCCAUUUCAAAUGAAAAUGAUUAAAUUUCCACACAAUGUGGGUUUUUUUUUAUUCAUUAGAAUACAUCAAAGUAAGUUAUAAUUAAAAAUAAGUUUAAAAAGAACUGUAUUUUAGUUUUAAGAAAAAAUGAUGGAGAAAAUUGGAAUUAGACUGCUUGAAAACUCUAGUUCACUAGUUCACUAGUUCGCUAGUAUGUGAUUGUUGCUUUAAGAAAGAUUUCAAAGCAUCAUAGCAAAUUAUAACUAAUAUUUUGCUUAUAACACUAAUAAAUUUUGAUAUUGUAAAUAUAGUCGCUUUAAAUGAAUGUAAAAUUUGAAUUUGAAAAAAAAAAUCUCAUUAUUUUAAGUAAAAUUACUUUCUUAAGUGGGUGAUGACCUGCAUUUUUUUCUUUGCAGAAUAAACUAUAUUGCAUACCUCGU